AUCGCUUCUCAGCCUUUUGGCUAAGAUCAAGUGUAAAAGAUGGUUAUUUUUCUCUUUAGUGUAUAAAGACUGUUACAAAUGCAGGGUGAUACACGUGACAGUUGAAUAAUCAUGCAUUUCAAUAAUUUUGUCACCCAUU
Molecule: small nuclear RNA, 139 nt
Organism: Rattus norvegicus (Norway rat)
Lineage: Eukaryota; Metazoa; Chordata; Mammalia; Rodentia; Muridae
Product: U2 spliceosomal RNA
Source: Ensembl